Cebus imitator (Panamanian white-faced capuchin) is the source of this 2145-nucleotide RNA transcript. It is a transcript of the gene named THUMP domain containing 2, with no coding region annotated. The record is from RefSeq and is a predicted model, not a curated record. The transcript is spliced from 11 exons. NCBI's taxonomy places the organism in Eukaryota, Metazoa, Chordata, Mammalia, Primates, Cebidae.
ACGUGACCCAAAGCAGCGGGGGCGCGCCCGAGCCGCCAUGUCGGUGGCGCCUGGGGAGCCGGGGUCCGGGCCUGAGGCCGGCGCCCGAUUCUUCUGCACCGCGGGCCGCGGCCUGGAGCCGUUCCUGAUGCGGGAGGUGAGGGCGCGGCUGGCAGCCACGCAGGUUGAAUAUAUUUCAGGAAAGGUUUUUUUCACCACCUGUUCCGAUUUGAAUAUGUUGAAGGAAUUAAAAUCUGCAGAAAGAUUGUUUUUGCUGAUUAAAAAGCAGUUUCCACUUAUUGUUUCUUCUGAAAAAUAUUUAAUGAAAUGCAAAGACUUAUAAAUGAAGAUCCAGGAAGUUGGUUGAAUGCCAUUUCAAUUUGGAAAAAUCUUCUUGAACUUAAUGCAAAAAAGGAAAAACUUUCUCAGAGAGAUGAUAACCAACUGAAAAGAAAAGUGGGAGAAAAUGAAAUCAUCAUUGCAAAGAAAUUAAAAAUAGAACAAAUGCAAAAGAUAGAAGAGAAUAGGGACUGCCAGCUGGGAAAACAAAUAGAAGAACAAACUCUGGAGCAAAGAGAUUUUACCACUAAAAGAGAAAACUUUCAAGAAGGAUUUCAGAAUGACACAGAGAUAGCAACUGAUACUCGUAAUCAGAAUGACUUGACUUUCAGAGUAUCUUGUCGCUGCAGUGGAACUGUUGGAAAGGCCUUCACUGCACAGGAGGUAGGAAAAGUAAUUGGAAUUGCUCUUAUGAAACACUUUGGAUGGAAAGCAGAUUUGAGGAAUCCAAAAUUAGAGAUCUUUAUACAUCUAAAUGACAUUUAUUCUGUGGUGGGGAUUCCUGUGUUCAGGGUUCCUCUAGCCAGCAGAGCUUACAUCAAGACAGCUGGACUGCGAUCUACCAUAGCGUGGGCAAUGGCAUCUCUCGCUGACAUUAAGGUACCAUAUGGCUCUGGCUGAAAUGACUGUCCACAGAGGACUCUGCUUCCUCUGUGGACAUAUCAAGUGGUGGAUUUUUUUCUCCCCUAUCUUGAGUACCACUGGGCCUGAAGUGGGGCUGGUGCAUUUGUUUUAGAUCCAAUGUGUGGACUUGGAACAAUACUUUUGGAAGCUGCUAAAGAAUGGCCAGAUGUGUAUUAUGUAGGUGCUGAUGUCAGUGACUCACAGUUACUAGGUACUUGGGACAAUCUAAAAGCUGCAGGCCUCGAGGAUAAAAUCGAAUUACUUCAAGUCUCUGUUAUAGAAUUGCCACUGCCUUCAGAAAGUGUUGAUAUUAUUAUUUCUGACAUUCCGUUUGGGAAAAAAUUUAAGUUAGGAGAAGACAUCAAAAGGAUUCUACAAGAAAUGGAAAGAGUGCUUCAUGUUGGUGGAACCAUUGUACUGUUGCUUAGUGAAGAUCACCACAGGCGUCUUACAGAUUGUAAAGAGAGCAGUAUCCCUUUCAAUUCCAAGGACAGUCACACAGAUGAACCUGGAAUUAAAAAGUGCUUGAUUCCUGAAGAAAAAACUGGUACAUCCAAGACAGUGUCAACUUCAUUUGAAGCCAGUAACCACAAGUUCUUAGACAAAAUGUCACCAUUUGGCUCCUUGGUCCCAGUGGAAUGCUACAAAGUUAGCCUUGGAAAGACAGAUGCGUUCAUAUGUAAAUACAAGAAGUCGCACUCUUCUGGACUGUAGCAGGCUUGCCACCAUCAGCCAGGGUCAGGCCCUUGUAAGUUAGCUGUACAGCAGAAGUUUGCUGUCUCGAGGAUUCAUAUGGCACCCACAGAGCUCCAAGUAACUGGAUUCCCCCAAAAACAGGAGGUGUGGCUGAUGGGUUCAUGUGCUUGGUAAGAGUUUCUGCUUUAUACUUUAAAGUGCUUAAUGUUUUUGACAAAAAAAAAGUUACUGAAUAUUUUUUAGACUUAAGUUUUAUAUUCACAUUCUGUCAGAAUGUGAAAAGAUCUGUUCUGCCCAGUUUCUGAGCAAAAACUUCAACUUUAAAAUAAAAGUUUUCAGGGAUUCACCUAAGUGCAUCACAGUCAACACCAGAUUGGAAUAUUUUAACUAUCCGUUUUUUGAACAUGUAAAACCCUUUAUAUGUAACUUCGUUUGAUAUUAAACUUGAUUUUUGAGCCUGUAAUUUUCUUCUCCAUUGGAAUGAAAAUAAUUUGUAUUUGCAAUACA